GACGAACGCUGGCGGCGUGCUUAACACAUGCAAGUCGAGCGGAAAGGCCACUUCGGUGGUACUCGAGCGGCGAACGGGUGAGUAACACGUGAGUAAUCUGCCCCUGGCUUUGGGAUAGCCACCGGAAACGGUGAUUAAUACCGGAUACGACCACUUCUCGCAUGGGAUGGGGGUGGAAAGUUUUUUCGGCCAGGGUUGUGCUCGCGGCCUAUCAGCUUGAUGGUGAGGUAAUGGCUCACCAUGGCUUCGACGGGUAGCCGGCCUGAGAGGGUGACCGGUCACACUGGGACUGAGACACGGCCCAGACUCCUACGGGAGGCAGCAGUGGGGAAUAUUGGACAAUGGGCGGAAGCCUGAUCCAGCAACGCCGCGUGAGGGAUGACGGCCUUCGGGUUGUAAACCUCUUUCAGCAGGGACGAAGCGCAAGUGACGGUACCUUCAGAAGAAGCACCGGCCAACUACGUGCCAGCAGCCGCCGUAA
RNAcentral lists this ribosomal RNA (481 nucleotides) under uncultured bacterium. RNAcentral describes it as "partial 16S ribosomal RNA". It matches the Rfam family "Bacterial small subunit ribosomal RNA", at positions 28 to 523 of the family's 1533-position model. The record is from RNAcentral.